RNAcentral lists this ribosomal RNA (477 nucleotides) under uncultured bacterium. RNAcentral describes it as "partial 16S ribosomal RNA". It matches the Rfam family "Bacterial small subunit ribosomal RNA", at positions 30 to 507 of the family's 1533-position model. The record is from RNAcentral.
AUUGAACGCUGGCGGCAUGCCUUACACAUGCAAGUCGAACGGUAACAGGUUAAGCUGCCGAGUGGCGAACGGGUGAGUAAUGUAUCGGAACGUGCCCAGUCGUGGGGGAUAACUGCUCGAAAGAGCAGCUAAUACCGCAUACGACCUGAGGGUGAAAGCGGGGGAUCGCAAGACCUCGCGCGAUUGGAGCGGCCGAUAUCAGAUUAGGUAGUUGGUGAGGUAAAGGCUCAUCAAGCCGACGAUCUGUAGCUGGUCUGAGAGGACGACCAGCCACACUGGGACUGAGACACGGCCCAGACUCCUACGGGAGGCAGCAGUGGGGAAUUUUGGACAAUGGGCGCAAGCCUGAUCCAGCCAUGCCGCGUGCGGGAAGAAGGCCUUCGGGUUGUAAACCGCUUUUGUCAGGGAAGAAAAGGUUCUGGCUAAUACCUGGGACUCAUGACGGUACCUGAAGAAUAAGCACCGGCUAACUACGUG